RNAcentral lists this ribosomal RNA (424 nucleotides) under uncultured Clostridium sp. Its description in RNAcentral is "bacterial SSU rRNA". It matches the Rfam family "Bacterial small subunit ribosomal RNA", at positions 356 to 794 of the family's 1533-position model. Lineage: Bacteria; Bacillati; Bacillota; Clostridia; Eubacteriales; Clostridiaceae. The record is from RNAcentral.
GGGGAAUAUUGGGCAAUGGGGGAAACCCUGACCCAGCAACGCCGCGUGAAGGAAGAAGGCCUUCGGGUUGUAAACUUCUUUUACCAGGGACGAAGGACGUGACGGUACCUGGAGAAAAAGCAACGGCUAACUACGUGCCAGCAGCCGCGGUAAUACGUAGGUUGCAAGCGUUGUCCGGAUUUACUGGGUGUAAAGGGCGUGUAGGCGGAGAUGCAAGUCGGGAGUGAAAUCCAUGGGCUUAACCCAUGAACUGCUUUCGAAACUGUAUCUCUUGAGUGUCGGAGAGGUAGAUGGAAUUCCUAGUGUAGCGGUGAAAUGCGUAGAUAUUAGGAGGAACACCAGUGGCGAAGGCGAUCUACUGGACGAUAACUGACGCUGAGGCGCGAAAGCGUGGGGAGCAAACAGGAUUAGAUACCCUGGUAGU